UUAAGUCAGGCAACGAGCGAGAUCCCUACCUCUAGUUGCUACCAUUACUCUCAGGAGUAGUGGGGCUAAUUAGAGGGACCGUCGCCGCUGAGGCGGAGGAAGGAGGGGGCUACGGCAGGUCAGUAUGCCCCGAAACCCUCGGGCCACACGCGGGCUGCAAUGGUAAGGACAAUGGGUUUCGAUUCUGAAAAGAGGAGACAAUCCCCAAACCUUACCCCAGUUAUGAUUGAGGGCUGAAACUCGCCCUCAUGAAUAUGGAAUCCCUAGUAACCGCGUGUCAACAUCGCGCGGUGAAUACGUCCCUGCUCCUUGCACA
RNAcentral lists this ribosomal RNA (316 nucleotides) under uncultured archaeon. RNAcentral's name for it is "bacterial SSU rRNA". It matches the Rfam family "Archaeal small subunit ribosomal RNA", at positions 1029 to 1343 of the family's 1478-position model. The record is from RNAcentral.